ACCGCACAGAAUCAAAGCCUCCACGCGGCGUGCGGUGGGCAACGAAUGGCGGUGCUGUUCGGCAAAUUUUGAUU
Molecule: ribozyme, 74 nt
Filed under: unclassified sequences
Description: HDV ribozyme from F. prausnitzii
Rfam family: HDV ribozyme from F. prausnitzii
Source: RNAcentral